Molecule: long non-coding RNA, 3433 nt
Filed under: Pelobates cultripes (western spadefoot toad)
Lineage: Eukaryota; Metazoa; Chordata; Amphibia; Anura; Pelobatidae
Source: RNAcentral
AUUUCAGUGUAUACUUUGUAAUUUGUUUUGUCAGUAUAUUUUUUUAUUGCAUAUUAGAACAUUAGUCAUUACGCAAUUUACUAAACUGUAUACAUAAUAUAUUUUUUUAAAGUCAUUAGUUUCAUAAUAACAAUGAUGUGUAUUAGAGGUGAAUGUGUAGCUGUAUUUUGACUGGUUUAUACUUCUAUCAUUUCCAGGUUGAGUCAAAAAUAUAUUAUUAAUAAGCAUGUAUUGUAUUUCUUUUACUCUCCACUUCUCCACAGCUUAAGAGCCACAUAUUAAAAAAACUGUGAAACAAUUACAAGUUGUUUAAAUAUCUACUAAUAAUAAGACUUUCACAGUUGCUAUAAAUUUCAUAAGUAAAAACAUUUAAAGAAUUAGCUGCACAGGGAAUAAUGAGGAUUAUUAACAGUUAGGUAGCAAUUUGUUCUCUUAUGAAAUUACUAUCCAUGACCCUAAAAUAAGUGAAAGAAAUUAAAUAAGUGGUAAUAUAUUUAUGUUGAAUGGUAUUGCUUUCACUAAUCCAUCUUGCUUUGGCACUUAACAUUUGUUAAACUUUUGUUUUUGUUUUAAAACAAUGACAUCUAUUAGAUUAUAUACCGUGAGUAUGAUACAUGCAAUUUUACACAGUCAAAAGAAGGUGGUAUUCUUCACCAUUUUCCUCAAGUCUUUGGAGGACACGCAGAGAGAACUUAUAUAUUAGUUCCCUCUAUAGAUUACAUGCAAAAAUGAAGACCUUUUACUUGCCACAAAGACUGGCUAAUAUCAUAACUCAUUCUAUAAAGUUUAAUGUUCAAUAAAAAAUGUUUGGGCCAAUUUAAAGACAGACAAACAUCAGGCCUAAAUAUUUUUAAACAAAGGGAUAAUUUCCAUUCCAGUCAUUUAUGGAGUAUUCUUAUCAGUGUCUUAUUGAUUCAUUUCUAAAAUGAAUACUUAUGCUAUUGCCAUUAAUAGAGUAUCCUGAUCAGUGUCUUUUUGAUUAUUUUCUAAAAUAAUAUGUAUGCUAUUGCAUAGGAGCAACAUUAGUUAAAACGGAAACCAAAAAAGAAUGACUCAGGAACUGCAAAAACAUAUCCUUGAACAUGCAUUUAUUUUGAUAAAAAUCAUAUAUCUUUUCUGUGACAUUUUUCAAUAAAGCGUUAAAAAAAAAAUUCAAGGGACCAGCCCUUUACGACCAUUAAAAUAUCCAUUCUUGAACCCAAAGUUUGCCAGUUGUUCAUAGCUAAUUUUCUACUGUACAACACUGCAUGAAUCUAAACUGUGAAAUGGACAGUAAGCCAGAGCUCUCUUUAUGUACGUGGGAACAAGUAGCUGGAGGCACAAAUGACAGAUGUGGUCUCCAUCUACCUUCUGCCCAAGUGCAAUGAUUCUAAUCUGCAGUACAAGUACGAGUGAUACUGUUCUCGAUAUCUUUCAAUAUACUUACACACAUUGCACAGUGCAUAGUGCAAUGUAGACUGCUGGGGAUUGCCCUACUUUAGAGUAAGUUCCAAAAUGCAAUUCCCUCUCGGUCCCUCUCUUUGUACAGAACAAGCAUUAGCAAUAUAGCAACCAAAUCUUAAUAGAUUGAUUUUUUUUUUUCAAAAUAGAAGCCAAUUCCUGCUGGCAUUUAUAGGAACACUCAGUAGGGAUAAAACCAUCUGUUCGUUACUUUAAGAGUGUUUUCAUACCUAGUUAGAUUACUUGACCUUCCUUAACAAGUAAAAUAAAAUAUAUUUUACUUAACUUUAGCCUCAAACACACUGGCCUUUUAAUGUGAUAAUUGUCCCCAGCUUUCACAUGGUAGGAUCUGAAGUUGAAUGGAAAAAAAUCUUUGUAUAAAACAUUACUGAGUAGCACUUUCAAUUGGAUUGUUCUCCGUGACUGGUGAGAUUUCAUGUAUUUCAUGUAAUUGGAAGAUUUGUUUUCUGUCAGCUUACACAGAUAUGCUCAUACUCACUAUGUCACUGAUAGCUAAUUUUUUUUUUUUUUAAACUCAUCCCAUCAAAAUGUCCCAGUUAUUAAUAUCUAAACAAUGACGGAACCAAUGCUUCAUACAGAAAACCCAUCCUUUUUUCUUGCAGUCUGUGCUAUGGAGCAAAGACGAUUCUAUGUUUUGUAUUUGAAAGCAAACCAUAAUUUUUGCGUGUGGUCUGCAUUUUGCAGAAGUCUGUGUGUGUCGUGUUUGAUAUGGGUGCUAUGUGGUUGCCUUAUGUGUAUUGAAGGUGAAGCGAUAACUAUGGGUGUCCUAUUCAAUGUGGGUUUCAUGUGAGUAGUAGAGCAUGCUAUAGGUGAAUGUUGGGUACUAUAAGUCAUGUCGAUACCAUGGUUAUAAAUAUUGGUUGGUGUUUGUGAGUACAUCAUUGGUUCGAAGAUUUGUGUUGAAUUGGUGAAAUAUGAAUGGCAUAAGGCACAUAUUUUAGAUGUCCAUGGAUAAUUGACUUUCAUAACAUAAUCUGGUUCCUGAGUUGUACAAAUAGAACAGAAUCAGAUAUUAGUAUUUUAUGAGCCAAUGUGAAGUUAGGACAAUUUCAAAAUUUCAGCUUCUAAAUAAAAAUAGCAUGCCUGAUCUUACUGUAGGCAUGCUCCAAACCAAUAGAACACCCACUCUGUACAAGAAUGAUACAAGCAAAUUAAUACAAUACUUUUAAGUGUCCUCUUUAUAUUAAUUUGCUGGCAUCAGCCAUGAACUGGAUGUUUUUUAUUUUUUAUUUUUCAGUUUGAAUCUUUCAUUUUAAUGUUCGCCCUUUUUUAGGCCUAGACCAAAUGUGUUAAUUACAUCUACUCCCUGUGUAAUGUUUCAAUACAGUACCAAAAGUUUGUUAAAACCUACAAUUCAGGCAUCAUAUGAGACAGUUGAUUGAUUGGAUUUUCUGUUCUGAACAGGCACAAAAAAUAAAUAAAUUUAUCUUUAUAACAUUGGUUUUGAACUGUAAAUAGUAAUAAAAAAUGCUUUUUAAAAUCAACUUCCAAUAUGUGAAAAACAAACAAAAAAGUUGCUAUUCUGUCUUUAUAUUUUACCAGUGCUUCACUAGCUUGUGUUUCCCCAAGACAUUAAUAGAAGAACCUCUUUCAGCUUAUAAUAUUCAGCAUUCCUGGAAGAAAUAAAUAUAUAAAAUGUUUAUUGACUGGAAUGGAAUCUUCCAUUAAACCGGAAAUAUAGAUCUACAGUUGUAGAAUAAUUAUCAAUAUUAUUGUGUUGACCAACUCUUAAAAUUGAUGUAACUUCCUUAUAGUUGAGAAGUAUAAUCUAAUUUAUUUCAAUAACUAGGUGUAUAAUUUCCUAGGUUUAAAUGGUUGUUUCUAAAUCACAGCCCUAAAAUUCAUUAAAAAAUAUGCCAAAUUUAUUUUAUUUUCUAUUAAAGCAAUAUAUAUUGUGUUGUAAUAUUAUGUGACAUUCUGUGAACUUAUUGUUAUUUAUGCUUUAAACAAUUAUCUGAAAUGUUAUUGUUUU